GAGGGUGUAGCUCAGGUGGUAGAGCCCAAGCUCAGCACGCACGAGGUCCUGGGUUCAAUCCCCAGCACCUGCU
This 73-nucleotide transfer RNA is filed under the name Camelus ferus (Wild Bactrian camel). It matches the Rfam family "tRNA". Rfam says of the family: Transfer RNA (tRNA) molecules are approximately 80 nucleotides in length. Their secondary structure includes four short double-helical elements and three loops (D, anti-codon, and T loops). Further hydrogen bonds mediate the characteristic L-shaped molecular structure. tRNAs have two regions of fundamental functional importance: the anti-codon, which is responsible for specific mRNA codon recognition, and the 3' end, to which the tRNAs corresponding amino acid is attached (by aminoacyl-tRNA synthetases). tRNAs cope with the degeneracy of the genetic code in two manners: having more than one tRNA (with a specific anti-codon) for a particular amino acid; and 'wobble' base-pairing, i.e. permitting non-standard base-pairing at the 3rd anti-codon position. Lineage: Eukaryota; Metazoa; Chordata; Mammalia; Artiodactyla; Camelidae. The record is from Rfam by way of RNAcentral.